CUUAGCGGCGGACGGGUGAGUAAUGCUUAGGAAUCUGCCUAUUAGUGGGGGACAAUCUUUCGAAAGGAAUGCUAAUACCGCAUACGUCCUACGGGAGAAAGCAGGGGAUCUUCGGACCUUGCGCUAAUAGAUGAGCCUAAGUCGGAUUAGCUAGUUGGUGGGGUAAAGGCCUACCAAGGCGACGAUCUGUAGCGGGUCUGAGAGGAUGAUCCGCCACACUGGGACUGACCCAGACUCCUACGGGAGGCAGCAGUGGGGAAUAUUGGACAAUGGGCGCAAGCCUGAUCCGACACGGAGCCAUGCCGCGUGUGUGAAGAAGGCCUUAUGGUUGUAAAGCACUUUAAGCGAGGAGGAGGCUACUAGUUAAUACCUAGAUAGUGGACGUUACUCGCAGAAUAAGCACCGGCUAACUCUGUGCCAGCAGCCGCGGUAAUACAGAGGGUGCAAGCGUUAAUCGGAUUUACUGGGCGUAAAGCGCGCGUAGGCGGCUAAUUAAGUCAAAUGUGAAAUCCCCGAGCUUAACUUGGGAAUUGCAUUCGAUACUGGUUAGCUAGAGUGUGGGAGAGGAUGGUAGAAUUCCAGGUGUAGCGGUGAAAUGCGUAGAGAUCUGGAGGAAUACCGAUGGCGAAGGCAGCCAUCUGGCCUAACACUGACGCUGAGGUGCGAAAGCAUGGGGAGCAAACAGGAUUAGAUACCCUGGUAGUCCAUGCCGUAAACGAUGUCUACUAGCCGUUGGGGCCUUUGAGGCUUUAGUGGCGCAGCUAACGCGAUAAGUAGACCGCCUGGGGAGUACGGUCGCAAGACUAAAACUCAAAUGAAUUGACGGGGGCCCGCACAAGCGGUGGAGCAUGUGGUUUAAUUCGAUGCAACGCGAAGAACCUUACCUGGCCUUGACAUAGUAAGAACUUUCCAGAGAUGGAUUGGUGCCUUCGGGAACUUACAUACAGGUGCUGCAUGGCUGUCGUCAGCUCGUGUCGUGAGAUGUUGGGUUAAGUCCCGCAACGAGCGCAACCCUUUUCCUUAUUUGCCAGCGAGUAAUGUCGGGAACUUUAAGGAUACUGCCAGUGACAAACUGGAGGAAGGCGGGGACGACGUCAAGUCAUCAUGGCCCUUACGGCCAGGGCUACACACGUGCUACAAUGGUCGGUACAAAGGGUUGCUACCUAGCGAUAGGAUGCUAAUCUCAAAAAGCCGAUCGUAGUCCGGAUUGGAGUCUGCAACUCGACUCCAUGAAGUCGGAAUCGCUAGUAAUCGCGGAUCAGAAUGCCGCGGUGAAUACGUUCCCGGGCCUUGUACACACCGCCCGUCACACCAUGGGAGUUUGUUGCACCAGAAGUAGGUAGCUAACCGCAA
RNAcentral lists this ribosomal RNA (1353 nucleotides) under Acinetobacter sp. RNAcentral describes it as "bacterial SSU rRNA". It matches the Rfam family "Bacterial small subunit ribosomal RNA", at positions 91 to 1444 of the family's 1533-position model. The record is from RNAcentral. Lineage: Bacteria; Pseudomonadati; Pseudomonadota; Gammaproteobacteria; Moraxellales; Moraxellaceae.